GCACGGCGUGCACAGGGGCUCCUCCAGCACCUGGCCGCACAGCUUGCACUCGAAAUCCGGGUCCACGGCUUCGGCGAAGCGCUCCAGGGCAAAGCCCAUGAAUGGAAGCUCCGCGAGAGCAGGAUCUUCGUCCGGCUUUCCGCUGAAUCCACAUCACCAUACAUUAAGGCGUUCUUCAAUAAAUGGGUUACACUUCUGUUCUUUCAAAUCAGUCAACUACAAAAGCAUGAGCUAAGUGGCUGGGACCGAAGGAAAUCACUAUGAGGUAUCUCAGAGCCAGGCUUCUCAAAUCACGAUCCAGAAAGCAGGUACCCAUGGUCAACUGCUUUCUGAAAAUAUUAUAUGGAAAAUUCCAGAAAUAAACAAUUCAUCGAUUUUAGAUUGCACAGCAUUCUGAGCAGUGCCAUCCCACUCCAGCUCACUCAGGGUUCCCAACUCUGGACGUCAUCAUGGCUUGAUGAUCCGGGAUGCCCCCAAAGCAGAUGGUCCUCCAUCUGACCUAUCGUCGGAAGGCAGCCACUGGAGGUCUUGGAGCAUAUCUUCCACGGAAAAAGAGGACUCCUGCAACUCUCCGUUGGGUUCUGAAACCACUUGUUUGCCGAUUUUGCACAACUCAAAGGUAAUCCAUAAAUAGCUAAUAUUAUUUAUUAACAAUAUAUUUCAUGAUAAUAACAUACUUUUUUUUAAAUAAGAGGAAUUAGAAAUUCCACAUGAAAACUCUGUUGACUAGAACAGGGUCUAAGAAGCAAAGAGAUACCACUGUUUGUUCUAUCACACCAGGGGUUUGGGGCUGAAUUAUUUAAUCUCAGUACAAUUUCAGGUGUAAAAU
Non-coding RNA from Vicugna pacos (alpaca), 829 nucleotides. NCBI's taxonomy places the organism in Eukaryota, Metazoa, Chordata, Mammalia, Artiodactyla, Camelidae. The record is from RefSeq and is a predicted model, not a curated record.